RNAcentral lists this ribosomal RNA (315 nucleotides) under uncultured Glomus. RNAcentral's name for it is "partial 18S ribosomal RNA". The stretch from base 1 to 253 matches the Rfam family "Eukaryotic small subunit ribosomal RNA", at positions 337 to 604 of the family's 1831-position model. Lineage: Eukaryota; Fungi; Glomeromycota; Glomeromycetes; Glomerales; Glomeraceae. The record is from RNAcentral.
CGAUCUAGCGUAUUCUUUACAAGGUCCGGGGAUAGGGUUCGAUUCCGGAGAGGGAGCCUGAGAAAGGCUAAACAUCCAGGAAGGCAGCAGGCGCGCAAAUUCCCCAAUCCCAACACGGGGAGGUAGUGACAAUAUGUAACAAUAUACGGCCUUAUACGUCGUAUAAUUGGAAUGAUCCUACCCAAAUCCCUUAAAAGGACCUUUGGGGGGCAUUCGGGCCCCCACCCCGAUUUUUCCCUCCCAUAGCAUAUUUAGUUUUUGCUUAAAAAAGUGAAUUGGGUCGGCGGGGGGGCGGUCCAUAAAAAAAAGUUGCCC